GGUCUGCCAGUGGUCUUGUCUCGCAUUACCACAGUCUGUAAAACGUCGCCAUAUUGAGAGAAGUAGUCGUUAAGCUUCUCCUCGGUUGUCUCCCACGAAAUCCCACCAAUAAAUAGCUUUCCCUGAUCUGAAUCCAUAAAAUUUCUGUUUAUAUAGUUAUAGCUAAAGGUCUUGCAGUGGCUUCAGAUAUGGGUUCGUUUUGAAAUUUGAGAGAUUUCACUUUCUAUUGGGGUUUUGGGGUUUGGGAUUUGGUGCAGAGGGUUUGGUUUUUGGGGCUAAG
Molecule: unclassified non-coding RNA, 280 nt
Filed under: Hevea brasiliensis (rubber tree)
Lineage: Eukaryota; Viridiplantae; Streptophyta; Magnoliopsida; Malpighiales; Euphorbiaceae
Source: RNAcentral